This 270-nucleotide ribosomal RNA is filed under the name uncultured archaeon. RNAcentral describes it as "partial 16S ribosomal RNA". It matches the Rfam family "Archaeal small subunit ribosomal RNA", at positions 477 to 747 of the family's 1478-position model. The record is from RNAcentral.
CUGCAGCUCAAGUGGUGACCACUAUUAUUGGGCCUAAAACGUUCGUAGCCGGUUUGGUAAAUGCCUGGGUAAAUCGUGUAGCUUAACUAUACGAAUUCCGGGUAGACUGCCAAACUUGAGACCGGGAGAAGCUAGAGGUACUCCUGGGGUAGAGGUGAAAUUCUGUAAUCCUGGGGGGACCACCAGUGGCGAAGGCGUCUAGCUAGAACGGGUCUGACGGUGAGGAACGAAGCCCUGGGGCGCAGACCGGAUUAGAUACCCGAGUAGUCC